GACAGAGGGUGCAAACGUUGUUCGGAAUUACUGGGCGUAAAGGGCUCGUAGGCGGCCAACUAAGUCAGACGUGAAAUCCCUCGGCUUAACCGGGGAACUGCGUCUGAUACUGGAUGGCUUGAGUUCGGGAGAGGGAUGUGGAAUUCCAGGUGUAGCGGUGAAAUGCGUAGAUAUCUGGAGGAACACCGGUGGCGAAGGCGGCAUCCUGGACCGACACUGACGCUGAUGAGCGAAAGCCAGGGGAGCAAACGGG
RNAcentral lists this ribosomal RNA (253 nucleotides) under uncultured bacterium. RNAcentral describes it as "partial 16S ribosomal RNA". It matches the Rfam family "Bacterial small subunit ribosomal RNA", at positions 524 to 776 of the family's 1533-position model. The record is from RNAcentral.